GCUCCUUUAGCUCAGUUGGUUUAGAGUGCUUGACUUACAUUCAAGUGGUCGUAAGUUCGAAUCUUACAAGGAGCA
RNAcentral lists this transfer RNA (75 nucleotides) under Caudoviricetes sp. RNAcentral's name for it is "tRNA-Val". It matches the Rfam family "tRNA". Rfam says of the family: Transfer RNA (tRNA) molecules are approximately 80 nucleotides in length. Their secondary structure includes four short double-helical elements and three loops (D, anti-codon, and T loops). Lineage: Duplodnaviria; Heunggongvirae; Uroviricota; Caudoviricetes. The record is from RNAcentral.